This 464-nucleotide ribosomal RNA is filed under the name Vreelandella stevensii. RNAcentral's name for it is "partial 16S ribosomal RNA". It matches the Rfam family "Bacterial small subunit ribosomal RNA", at positions 338 to 795 of the family's 1533-position model. Lineage: Bacteria; Pseudomonadati; Pseudomonadota; Gammaproteobacteria; Oceanospirillales; Halomonadaceae. The record is from RNAcentral.
CCUACGGGGGCUGCAGUGGGGAAUAUUGGACAAUGGGGGCAACCCUGAUCCAGCCAUGCCGCGGGUGUGAAGAAGGCCCUCGGGUUGUAAAGCACUUUCAGUGAGGAAGAACGCCUGGUGGUUAAUACCCAUCAGGAAAGACAUCACUCACAGAAGAAGCACCGGCUAACUCCGUGCCAGCAGCCGCGGUAAUACGGAGGGUGCGAGCGUUAAUCGGAAUUACUGGGCGUAAAGCGCGCGUAGGUGGCUUGAUAAGCCGGUUGUGAAAGCCCCGGGCUCAACCUGGGAACGGCAUCCGGAACUGUCAAGCUAGAGUGCAGGAGAGGAAGGUAGAAUUCCCGGUGUAGCGGUGAAAUGCGUAGAGAUCGGGAGGAAUACCAGUGGCGAAGGCGGCCUUCUGGACUGACACUGACACUGAGGUGCGAAAGCGUGGGUAGCAAACAGGAUUAGAUACCCGUGUAGUC